UCUUUUUUAUUUAUUUCACGGAUCCAAGAUCACGGGUCACGAGCUUAACAGUUACCAUAGCGACAGGUUUUUAGUAUAAAUUUGAAAAUUUUCAGUCGUAAUGAAAUAGACCUUAGUACAAAUAGAAAAGCACAGUUUCAAAACCUAAUCAUUAAUAAAAUUAAUAAGAUUUGAAGAUAUGGCAGAUUUUAGUAAAAUUCCUGGCGCCGAUCAAAUUUCCGAUCUCUCAAGCUGGGAAAUAGCCUUGAUUAUCGGGAUAGGUGCUGCAGCUCUUCUUGGUGUCGCUUACUGGUAUAUCAACAAAAGUGAUAACCCUCAAUUAUAAUAUAAUGGAAGAUAGGUUUUAAGGAUUGAUACCGAUUUCGUUGUCUUUAAUCCUAAAUUCUGUCCUGAAUAUGAUGAAAAUGUGAAGCGUUUUUGUAAAGACACAUGCAUGAUAAAUUUUGAAGUUGAUUGUAGUUUUUGAAUAAAAGUAAUUUUCCUGAUUGAAAA
Non-coding RNA from Parasteatoda tepidariorum (common house spider), 492 nucleotides. Lineage: Eukaryota; Metazoa; Arthropoda; Arachnida; Araneae; Theridiidae. The record is from RefSeq and is a predicted model, not a curated record.